UUCAUGCAUUAUCAGUGUGAAAAGAAAACAGAUAAAGGGCAGCCAAAACCCAAAUCCUCAAACUAUAGAUAAUGCUGGUCCCCAACAGCUGUCCACUUGACACCCCUCGGACUCGCACUCACUCGGCAAUGCACUCAGAAAUUGUAUUCCAAGAGACCGGCAAGAUAUGGGGCAGGAGAGAGCGAGAGUCGCUUCGAAUGUUUUCCAUAUGGUUGGCAUUACCUGGUGACAAUUUAGAGCCAAGAAAUCUAUCUAAAAAUAAGAAUUUCCCCUAACAUAAUUUUUCACGAAUGAUAAUGUACUUAUUUAUUCCAAUCAUUUGUAUUUUAUAAACAAAUUCGAUUGAGGAAUGAGUGAAAAGGAAAUUAAAAGUUUGGACCACCCACAAUGAUUUCAAGAACAAACAAAUCUUAACAGAUGUGGGGAAGCAGCCACAAUUGCAUGAAGAAAUAAAAUUUUAGUGAUAUUUUGUCAGAGGCGAAAAGUGUGCUUUUUCUCUUAAAUGUAAUCAACAACCUGAUUGCAAUUUGGAAUAAAUAAGAUCAAUUUAUUCAAAAUUUAUCGGGCAUGGCAAAUAUUUGGCUAAAUUCAAUGUUGCAUUUCGAAUUUAAACGAAAA
Drosophila ananassae is the source of this 618-nucleotide long non-coding RNA. RefSeq lists it as uncharacterized. Lineage: Eukaryota; Metazoa; Arthropoda; Insecta; Diptera; Drosophilidae. The record is from RefSeq and is a predicted model, not a curated record. The transcript has 2 exons.